AACGAACGCUGGCGGCAUGCCUAACACAUGCAAGUCGAACGAGACCUUCGGGUCUAGUGGCGCACGGGUGCGUAACGCGUGGGAACCUGCCCUUAGGUUCGGAAUAACUCCCCGAAAGGGGUGCUAAUACCGGAUAAUGUCUUCUGACCAAAGAUUUAUCGCCUUUGGAUGGGCCCGCGUUGGAUUAGCUAGUUGGUAGGGUAAAAGCCUACCAAGGCGACGAUGCGUAGCUGGUAUGAGAGGAAGAUCAGCCACUCUGAGACUGAGACACGGCCCAGAAUCCUACGGGAUGCAGCAGUGGGGAAUAUUGGACAAUGGGCGAAAGCCUGAACCAGCAAUGCCGCGUGAGUGAUGAAGGCAUUAGGGUUGUAAAGCUCUUUUACCCGGGAUGAUAAUGACAGUACCGGGAGAAUAAGCUCCGGCUAACUCCGUG
Molecule: ribosomal RNA, 433 nt
Filed under: uncultured bacterium
Lineage: Bacteria
Description: partial 16S ribosomal RNA
Rfam family: Bacterial small subunit ribosomal RNA
Source: RNAcentral